CCUACGGGAGGCAGCAGUGGGGAAUUUUGGACAAUGGGGGAAACCCUGAUCCAGCAAUGCCGCGUGUGUGAAGAAGGCCUUCGGGUUGUAAAGCACUUUUAUUCGGAGAGAAAUCCCUUGGGCUAAUACCCUGAGGGUCUGACGGUACCGGAUGAAUAAGCGCCGGCUAACUACGUGCCAGCAGCCGCGGUAAUACGUAGGGCGCGAGCGUUAAUCGGAAUUACUGGGCGUAAAGCGUGCGCAGGCGGUUUUGUAAGACAGAUGUGAAAGCCCCGGGCUCAACCUGGGAAUUGCAUUUGUGACUGCAAGGCUAGAGUGUGUCAGAGGGAGGUGGAAUUCCGCGUGUAGCAGUGAAAUGCGUAGAGAUGCGGAGGAACACCGAUGGCGAAGGCAGCCUCCUGGGAUAACACUGACGCUCAUGCACGAAAGCGUGGGGAGCAAACAGGAUUAGAUACCCUGGUAGUCCACGCCCUAAACGAUGUCAACUAGUUGUCGGGAAUUAAAUUUCUUGGUAACGCAGCUAACGCGUGAAGUUGACCGCCUGGGGAGUACGGCCGCAAGGUUAAAACNCAAAGGAUUGACGG
This 584-nucleotide ribosomal RNA is filed under the name uncultured bacterium. RNAcentral's name for it is "bacterial SSU rRNA". It matches the Rfam family "Bacterial small subunit ribosomal RNA", at positions 338 to 916 of the family's 1533-position model. The record is from RNAcentral.